AAUUCUACAUGGCGAUUUGGCCGGUAACAAAAAAAAAACCUUAAGUCGACUGAGGAGAGAAAAAGUGCGGUUUUGUCGGACGAAACGGAUCCUUCAAAGAUGCCACUCAAACAGCACUGCUCGGCGCUUACGAGUCCGGCGCUCACCCCAUAGCUGUUGCUACCCUAAAAGGGGCUAAACAGGAAGGGGAUGAGGUUAUCAAUUUUACCUUUUGGCGAAAAAUAAAUAAAAAGAAAGUUCAAAUUUAGGUGGUAUGUGGGAUUCGGAAAGAAGGGAGAAAUUGCGAAGUGAAAUUCGAGAACGGGAUCGCGGGUAAGGAGAAAAUGAGGAUCCACAGAAUCGUUGAUCAUGAGCUAGGUAUCAGUGCGAUAGCGAAGAUACUACAUGCUAUCGACACUAUAAUCGGCCAGACAAUAUUGGCGGGCAUAUCAAAGAGAAACAUAAGGAAGAAGCUAGACAGUUCAAGAAGAAAACGAGGUCCCCUCUGGCCGACGUG
Molecule: long non-coding RNA, 496 nt
Organism: Daphnia pulicaria
Lineage: Eukaryota; Metazoa; Arthropoda; Branchiopoda; Diplostraca; Daphniidae
Exons: 3
Source: RefSeq, a predicted model, not a curated record